UCAAGAGAUCCACGAGGACCCAGAGGAGGAGGCGACGAGUGCUCGUCAUAGGCGACUCCAUCCUGAGAGGUACGGAAGGACCCAUCUGUCGCCAGGACCCCUCGGCACGAGAGUGACCGGACGAGGAAGACGGCAGGAGAACUGCAUCCGAGAGACCAACUGGCGGCUUCGGCAGUGGUGUCUCGAGGAAGGCUUCAGAUUUCUGGACAACGACCCGCACAUCACGACGAGGGACUGGGACGAUGCUCAGCUGGGAUGGGCUUCACCUGUCCCCCAAAGGGUGCGUUGGAGGGAUAGCGUUGGGAGGAGCUCAGUCCUUUCCAGAGUCCUGCUGGUUGCAAGCCACUUGAGAUUUUGUUUCUACUGGCAGCUGGCCACACAAGAGCUGCAUAUUUUCAAAAGCUGUGAAGUUGGAGAGACAAGGAAAGAAGGGACUGGCAUCAAGACAGUUUCUGCAUCUAGUCUGGUCCUAAUCCUGAACUAUCCACUGGAGCCACUGAGAGUGGAUUCAGGAGAUUGGAGAAGCCAAGAGAAUGGAAAAGAAUCAGUACUCCUCAAGAAGUGACUGACAACUUGUUGGGUUUAUUCAUUUUUUUUAAAAAUAAAGCACAUUGUCUGCAGUUUA
Alligator mississippiensis (American alligator) is the source of this 625-nucleotide long non-coding RNA. RefSeq lists it as uncharacterized. The record is from RefSeq and is a predicted model, not a curated record. The transcript is spliced from 3 exons. NCBI's taxonomy places the organism in Eukaryota, Metazoa, Chordata, Crocodylia, Alligatoridae.